RNAcentral lists this unclassified non-coding RNA (312 nucleotides) under Hevea brasiliensis (rubber tree). Lineage: Eukaryota; Viridiplantae; Streptophyta; Magnoliopsida; Malpighiales; Euphorbiaceae. The record is from RNAcentral.
GCUACACAAAUAUCACUGCAAGCUCUCUCUAGUUUCAUACAUGGGAACCGUUGACAAGGGAGAAACAUAUGGAGCAUUCUACAACCUUCAAUUUUGCAGAUAGUCCAACAAAACAACACCGUGUCCCUCUUAGCAUGCCACACCUAAUCUCCGUCGAUUGACGACUGCUACAUUAUCGGCUAUGAAGAGGAGCUAACCAUAGAUUCCAAUGCUCAGACUACGCAUCUUUGCGGUUGGUGUCCUUCUCGUCUUCCUCCUCCACAGGCACGUUAACGUUAACUAUGGCCUCGCCUUCACCAUUUCCACCAGCGU